This 592-nucleotide long non-coding RNA is filed under the name Manihot esculenta (cassava). RNAcentral's name for it is "long non-coding RNA (MESC_LNC004107)". Lineage: Eukaryota; Viridiplantae; Streptophyta; Magnoliopsida; Malpighiales; Euphorbiaceae. The record is from RNAcentral.
CCAAGCACAGUACUAAACCAUAAACAUAACUCCACUUAACUUUACAUUACAUUCUCUUACAAAUCAUUAUAUCAAUUUAUAAUACAUGUCCACACUAAAAGUACUAAGCUAAUACUAUUACAUAAGCAAAACCUUUACUCUUGAGACUUCCCGAUCAACCUCAAACCUGCAACACUGGGGUUAGGGGAGAGGGGUGAGCUAAAAAAGCCCAGUGAGUAGAAACAAGGAAAACAGUUCAUUAAUUACGUGCUUUCAUGAAAUGCGUCACAGCACAAACAAAUCAUAUCACGGAUUGGACCCAACCCCAAAACAUCCCUAAGCUAUUUGCCCGGCCACCAUAGAGGGCACCACAGGACUUCGUAAUGCCUGGCCCAGCCAGGUCUUAUCCAUAGGGCUAGUGGGGUCGUCCUUGGUCCAAUCUCCAUCAACAGUAAAUAAUGCAAUGCUUCAUAUUCGUGUAACUAGUGCAAUCAACCUAUUACAUAUAAACAUGAUGCAUGAGCAUGCUUUAGGCAUUUGAUUUCAUAAAAUAAAGAUUAAGUUUAGUUCUACUCACCUCUGGCAGACGCUGAACUGACUCCGCAACAGCUAA